This 218-nucleotide long non-coding RNA is filed under the name Elaeis guineensis (African oil palm). Its description in RNAcentral is "long non-coding RNA (EGUI_LNC070231)". Lineage: Eukaryota; Viridiplantae; Streptophyta; Magnoliopsida; Arecales; Arecaceae. The record is from RNAcentral.
AGUCAUGGGUGUACAUGGGCUUGGGUUAACCUAAUCUCCCAUAGAGUUGGUCAAGGGAGUUUUGAGUUUGGGUCACUUGACCCGGUGUUUAUAUAUACAUGUACUUGUAUAGGUUUGAUGAAGCCAAGAAAAAAGACAACUCUUUCUCCCAAGUCUCUCUCUCUCUUCUUCCUCUCUCUCCAGCCAUCUUCCAUGCCCCAGGAGCAAGAAACCCUAGG